RNAcentral lists this long non-coding RNA (1044 nucleotides) under Sus scrofa (pig). Its description in RNAcentral is "lncRNA (ENSSSCG00065053084.1)". Lineage: Eukaryota; Metazoa; Chordata; Mammalia; Artiodactyla; Suidae. The record is from RNAcentral.
ACCCAACUCCGAGGGCGUGGGCCUGAGCGCCAAGUGUGCAAACUCCCGCAGGCGAGAGCUGACUGCCGGGCGCAGGUGGGUUGCCUGGCUCCACGCUGCGACCCGCAGGGCGAGUGGCCGAGUUCCGCGGACGGAACCGGGAGGAUGUGAGACCUGUCUUUGAAGUCUGCUCGCGGUGAGCGUUCAAAAUCAGCAGUGUUUGCUCAGGUUGCACUGACCCUUUCCAGUGAGCGACCCCCUGCGCCGCUCGCUUCCUUGGCCAGUAGCUGAGUAAAGGAAAGCCUGGCAGUGUAAAACGGCCCCAGCCAAAACUUACUCCCCGCCACCCCGGGGGCCGUGAGAAACCCGCUGCACAUAAUAACCAGAACUGAAAACUUCCCCAAUGAACAGAGUGCAAAACAGCUGAAGAAGGAUCCUCAUUACUCAAAAGAUACGUUGACACACCUCUGGGCUUUGAGCCUGUGAGAAGGGCCCAGCUCUCUGCCACUUAAAGUAGCAACAUGGUUGAUGACAUUCUUCUUUGGCCCGCUCCCUGUGAGAGAACACAAACCACUCCAAGAUGAGCUGGAAUGCAGCCUUCAUCAUAGGACGAUGAUCUUUUCCAACUGUAUUCAAGUCUGGAGUUCUUCGGGUAAAAAUUAAUCUUCCUGUGGACUCCAGAGGGCCCAUGGGAUUUUCCUUUUGGAUUAGAUGGAUGGUGGCAAGGUAAGCCUGAAGUUUCUCUUCAUGUUAUUACCUAUUAUUUUCUCUGGAAGGGAGGUUUGAAGAGCCCCUUGACUGUGCAGUGGGCAUUGGGAAUUAAGAGAAUGUUUAUUUUCAAUGGCAUGUUCUCAAAGAAAUAUAUAGGCAACUGUCAAAUUCCCUAACCUCCUUAAGCAUCAAGUUCAUAAGUUCUAAAAUGUAUGUAUUUAUAGUACCAUAUUCUAUUUUCCAGGAUUGGUGUGGGAUUAAAAUGAAAUAAUUCAUAUAAAGUCCUAAGCAUAUUGCCUGGGAUUUGGUGAAUGCUUUAAUGUCAGCAGCUACAUAACCAUAUUGAUAAUGUAU